UCGUUGAAUGUGUCGACCGAGGUUAACAACUGAAAUAAAAAUAGUUCUCGAGCUGAGUGCUAUCUGUUCUGUCAGACGGCCUCAAUGCAUCGACGUAUCCAGUCACUGUGCAUUCUUUCUCACAUUUUCAUUCGCACACAGCCUGAUCAUCCAAAAAGUAUAUAGAUUAAAUGAAGAAUUUUUACUGGAAGAUUUUCACGAUUGACAGUAGUAAAAGGUACACGUUAUCCAUCGAUGAUCUUCAGUUUUCUUUUUUAUCUUUUUUUCAGUAUGUUUAUACGUUUAUAUACAACCUAUCAUGUAAUAUAAUCGUGAAUGUUACGUCGCGUAUUAAAGUUACAUGUUAACGUGCACGUUACGUUAUUAUACCCGUACUUUGUCGUACAAUGAUGGAACUCAGAGAAAGAAAAGAAAAAAAAAAAAAAAAUAUAUGAAUCGAUCCGGGAAUCGAGAGGACGUUUCAGUGGACGCGCACGUAAGUCUAAGAGAAAGGCUUUGGGUUUUCAUCCCAAUCGUAAGCUUAACGAUAUACACGCUUCUACAUUAUAAUACAAUUGUUCUCGUUUCAUUCCGGCGAUCUUUGCCACGCCAAUGCGUACACCUCUUUUUCAUUAAUUGAAUACAAUUUCAUGAGUGUUUCUUAAAUUAACCCUUAAACGAAGAUGGUUAGGUCUAUGCUGAUAAUAAAUGUUUUAAUUAAAAUUAGGUACUCGAAUUUCCAAGAAAAGAUUUUCAUAUGUUAAAAAAAAUAAUAUUUAAAGAAAUAGUAUAAAAUUUAGAAAAUGGGAAUAAAAAUUAAUUUAACAUAAAAUUUAACCCUUUGAAUCUUAAAUUAUACAUUGAUCCAGCAAAGAUCCACCUCCUCCAUCCAAGGAUUAAUUAAAAAAAUAAUAAGUUUCGUUUUUUUUUCAAAUGAUUUAGAAGAGUGUGUAUUGAUCGUAUCGGCAAAGAUUACGCGGAGAUUUGAUCAUCACGAAAACAGGGACGGUUCGGACAUAACACGAACGACGAUCAUAUCCUUUCCCGAACGACAGGAUUUAUUUGUGAAAAUUCCGGUGAUUAAAGAAGGAACACGAUCGCCAAGGAUGAUCCUGUACCCUCGAGACAUUACUUUCUCUCAAACGGAAAAUGAUUGGCAAUGAACGCAUUUUAUAUUUGAUAAACUGUUCGAUUACAAUUGCACUCGACCGUGACACGAUCGAAAAUUGCACUUUGCCCUAGAAGAUCGAACAAAAGAAAAAAUGGAACGACUAGCCCUGAUAUUUCGUCACAGGAUCGAUCCUUACUUUAGGAUCUAUAACGAUUCGGACGAUGAUUUGAAUCGUCAUCGAUCCACGGUGAUCCGAGCCGGGCCGAUAAGGUUUUCAACGACUUAUCGACGAUCGAUCAUGAUUUUUCGCCUAUCUAAAAAGAUUCUACGACACGAUACAUGUUAGGAUCAAGACGCCCGCACAAAUAUAUACAAUGUUAUGAGGCGGCUGCGUGAAAACGUAGACACGGUUUUGUAUUCAGGAUUCGCAUCGAUUUUUCUUUCCCCGAAAGUAUGAAAAAAGAAAAAAAAAAAGAAGAAAUAUAACCAAUGUUUCUAUUAUCUACUUAUAUAAAACAUAUGUAAUUAAUAAUAAAAUUUAAUUAGCAAUUGGCCUUACUAACUUACUGUAUAUUAUUUCUUAUCACUUUAUUUUCCACUUUGAAAAUUACUACUUUCGUUUCUUUUAUUUUCAAAGCCAUUUUAGAAAUUCCUAUAAUAAAUUGUUGGAAUAAAAAAGCAACUUUUAUUUGAAUUAUAAUGAAAAUUUGAUCCACAAUGAAAUUUGGCAAAUUAUUGCACAUAAGGGUAAAAAAUAAGAAUAAAGAACGAUGCCCUAAAUCACAAUGAACCGUGUCAGCCUCGUAACGCAGCUGAAACGAUCAUCACAAUAGUGAAAAUUAGUAACAGAUAAUAUACAUAUGUAUAUUAACUUUACCAAGUAGCUCAUCUUCAUCGCACUCCGUAAACUCACUCACACUUUUAUGUACUCUUUUUCAUUUUUAUUUGUUUUUCUUUUUCCGUUCGAUAGUGACGAUGUGAGAAUAGUAAAUAGCAUCGGUAACGUUGUUAACGAUAACAGUAAUAAUUAAUAGGAAUAAUGACAAUAAUAAUAAUAAUAUUAUAAUGACAAUUAAUAAUCAAAUAAGUAAGAAUAACCGUAUUUCACGAUGACCGUAAUAAUAAUUAAUUAACGCUAUAUUAUAUAUAUAUAUUAUUUAUAAUUUUAUAUUAUAUAUAU
Molecule: RNA transcript, 2270 nt
Organism: Osmia bicornis bicornis
Lineage: Eukaryota; Metazoa; Arthropoda; Insecta; Hymenoptera; Megachilidae
Exons: 2
Source: RefSeq, a predicted model, not a curated record